Molecule: ribosomal RNA, 357 nt
Filed under: uncultured bacterium
Lineage: Bacteria
Description: bacterial SSU rRNA
Rfam family: Bacterial small subunit ribosomal RNA
Source: RNAcentral
GGACCCGCACAAGUAGUGGAGCAUGUGGUUUAAUUCGAAGAUACGCGCAGAACCUUACCAACACUUGACAUGUUCGUCGCGACUUUAAGAGAUUAAAGUUUUCGGUUCGGCCGGACGAAACACAGGUGCUGCAUGGCUGUCGUCAGCUCGUGUCGUGAGAUGUUGGUUAAGUCCCGCAACGAGCGCAACCCUCACUUUUAGUUGCCAUCAUUAAGUUGGGCACUCUGAAAGAACUGCCAGUGAUAAGCUGGAGGAAGGUGGGGAUGACGUCAAGUCCUCAUGGCCCUUACGUGUUGGGCUACACACGUGCUACAAUGGGAAGGACAAAGAAGCCGCGGAAGCCGCAGAGGUGUAGCU